AGCGUACACGGUGGAUGCCCUGGCAGUCAGAGGCGAUGAAGGGCGUGCUAAUCUGCGAUAAGCGCCGGUAAGGUGAUAUGAACCGUUAUAACCGGCGAUACCCGAAUGGGGAAACCCAGUGUGAUUCGUCACACUAUCAUUAACUGAAUCCAUAGGUUAAUGAGGCGAACCGGGGGAACUGAAACAUCUAAGUACCCCGAGGAAAAGAAAUCAACCGAGAUUCCCCCAGUAGCGGCGAGCGAACGGGGAGGAGCCCAGAGCCUGAAUCAGCAUGUGUGUUAGUGGAAGCGUCUGGAAAGGCGCGCGAUACAGGGUGACAGCCCCGUACACAAAAGCGCAUGUGCUGUGAGCUCGAUGAGUAGGGCGGGACACGUGGUAUCCUGUCUGAAUAUGGGGGGACCAUCCUCCAAGGCUAAAUACUCCUGACUGACCGAUAGUGAACCAGUACCGUGAGGGAAAGGCGAAAAGAACCCCGGCGAGGGGAGUGAAAAAGAACCUGAAACCGUGUACGUACAAGCAGUGGGAGCACCCUUGGGGUGUGACUGCGUACCUUUUGUAUAAUGGGUCAGCGACUUAUAUUCUGUAGCAAGGUUAACCGUAUAGGGGAGCCGUAGGGAAACCGAGUCUUAACCGGGCGUUAAGUUGCAGGGUAUAGACCCGAAACCCGGUGAUCUAGCCAUGGGCAGGUUGAAGGUUGGGUAACACUAACUGGAGGACCGAACCGACUAAUGUUGAAAAAUUAGCGGAUGACCUGUGGCUGGGGGUGAAAGGCCAAUCAAACCGGGAGAUAGCUGGUUCUCCCCGAAAGCUAUUUAGGUAGCGCCUCGUGAAUUCAUCUCCGGGGGUAGAGCACUGUUUCGGCUAGGGGGCCAUCCCGGCUUACCAACCCGAUGCAAACUGCGAAUACCGGAGAAUGUUAUCACGGGAGACACACGGCGGGUGCUAACGUCCGUCGUGAAGAGGGAAACAACCCAGACCGCCAGCUAAGGUCCCAAAGUCAUGGUUAAGUGGGAAACGAUGUGGGAAGGCCCAGACAGCCAGGAUGUUGGCUUAGAAGCAGCCAUCAUUUAAAGAAAGCGUAAUAGCUCACUGGUCGAGUCGGCCUGCGCGGAAGAUGUAACGGGGCUAAACCAUGCACCGAAGCUGCGGCAGCGACACUGUGUGUUGUUGGGUAGGGGAGCGUUCUGUAAGCCUGUGAAGGUGGCCUGUGAGGGUUGCUGGAGGUAUCAGAAGUGCGAAUGCUGACAUAAGUAACGAUAAAGCGGGUGAAAAGCCCGCUCGCCGGAAGACCAAGGGUUCCUGUCCAACGUUAAUCGGGGCAGGGUGAGUCGACCCCUAAGGCGAGGCCGAAAGGCGUAGUCGAUGGGAAACGGGUUAAUAUUCCCGUACUUGGUGUUACUGCGAAGGGGGGACGGAGAAGGCUAUGUUGGCCGGGCGACGGUUGUCCCGGUUUAAGCGUGUAGGUGUGUGUUCCAGGUAAAUCCGGUUCACUUUAACACUGAGGCGUGACGACGAGGCACUACGGUGCUGAAGCAACAAAUGCCCUGCUUCCAGGAAAAGCCUCUAAGCAUCAGGUAACAUCAAAUCGUACCCCAAACCGACACAGGUGGUCAGGUAGAGAAUACCAAGGCGCUUGAGAGAACUCGGGUGAAGGAACUAGGCAAAAUGGUGCCGUAACUUCGGGAGAAGGCACGCUGACACGUAGGUGAAGUGAUUUACUCAUGGAGCUGAAGUCAGUCGAAGAUACCAGCUGGCUGCAACUGUUUAUUAAAAACACAGCACUGUGCAAACACGAAAGUGGACGUAUACGGUGUGACGCCUGCCCGGUGCCGGAAGGUUAAUUGAUGGGGUCAGCGCAAGCGAAGCUCCUGAUCGAAGCCCCGGUAAACGGCGGCCGUAACUAUAACGGUCCUAAGGUAGCGAAAUUCCUUGUCGGGUAAGUUCCGACCUGCACGAAUGGCGUAAUGAUGGCCAGGCUGUCUCCACCCGAGACUCAGUGAAAUUGAACUCGCUGUGAAGAUGCAGUGUACCCGCGGCAAGACGGAAAGACCCCGUGAACCUUUACUAUAGCUUGACACUGAACAUUGAGCCUUGAUGUGUAGGAUAGGUGGGAGGCUUUGAAGUGUGGACGCCAGUCUGCAUGGAGCCGACCUUGAAAUACCACCCUUUAAUGUUUGAUGUUCUAACGUGGACCCGUAAUCCGGGUUGCGGACAGUGUCUGGUGGGUAGUUUGACUGGGGCGGUCUCCUCCUAAAGAGUAACGGAGGAGCACGAAGGUUGGCUAAUCCUGGUCGGACAUCAGGAGGUUAGUGCAAUGGCAUAAGCCAGCUUGACUGCGAGCGUGACGGCGCGAGCAGGUGCGAAAGCAGGUCAUAGUGAUCCGGUGGUUCUGAAUGGAAGGGCCAUCGCUCAACGGAUAAAAGGUACUCCGGGGAUAACAGGCUGAUACCGCCCAAGAGUUCAUAUCGACGGCGGUGUUUGGCACCUCGAUGUCGGCUCAUCACAUCCUGGGGCUGAAGUAGGUCCCAAGGGUAUGGCUGUUCGCCAUUUAAAGUGGUACGCGAGCUGGGUUUAGAACGUCGUGAGACAGUUCGGUCCCUAUCUGCCGUGGGCGCUGGAGAACUGAGGGGGGCUGCUCCUAGUACGAGAGGACCGGAGUGGACGCAUCACUGGUGUUCGGGUUGUCAUGCCAAUGGCACUGCCCGGUAGCUAAAUGCGGAAGAGAUAAGUGCUGAAAGCAUCUAAGCACGAAACUUGCCCCGAGAUGAGUUCU
Molecule: ribosomal RNA, 2773 nt
Filed under: Salmonella enterica subsp. enterica serovar Virchow
Lineage: Bacteria; Pseudomonadati; Pseudomonadota; Gammaproteobacteria; Enterobacterales; Enterobacteriaceae
Description: bacterial LSU rRNA
Rfam family: Bacterial large subunit ribosomal RNA
Source: RNAcentral